AACGCAUCUUGCGCUCCUUGGUAUUCCGAGGAGCAUGCCUGUUUGAGUGUCAUUAAAUUCUCAACCUUACUAGCUUUUGCAAAGUAAGGCUUGGAUGUGAGGGUUUUUGCUGGCUUUGCAGUCGGCUCCCUUGAAAUAUAUUAGCGGUGCCCUGCUGACCAUCAGUGUGAUAAUAUCUACGCUGUUGGAAGGACUAGGAUUUUGUGCUGCUUCUAACCGUCCGAUCCUCGGACAAUAUAUGACAAUUUUGACCUCAAAUCAGGUAGGACUACCCGCUGAACUUAA
This 285-nucleotide unclassified non-coding RNA is filed under the name uncultured fungus. RNAcentral describes it as "partial contains 5.8S ribosomal RNA, internal transcribed spacer 2, and large subunit ribosomal RNA". The stretch from base 1 to 52 matches the Rfam family "5.8S ribosomal RNA", at positions 103 to 154 of the family's 154-position model. The record is from RNAcentral. Lineage: Eukaryota; Fungi.